AUGUAUAAUAAUAAACAACAAGAUAAUAGUGGUGAGCAAAAGAUGAGAGU
This 50-nucleotide non-coding RNA is filed under the name Trypanosoma lewisi. Lineage: Eukaryota; Euglenozoa; Kinetoplastea; Trypanosomatida; Trypanosomatidae. The record is from RNAcentral.